AAUAAGAUGCCUGAAUAAAGGAUUAUUUUGAUAGAAUAAAUUAUGUAUAAUAUACUCUUAUUA
This 63-nucleotide transfer RNA is filed under the name Henschiella sp. PJ-2015. Its description in RNAcentral is "tRNA-Ile". The record is from RNAcentral. Lineage: Eukaryota; Metazoa; Arthropoda; Insecta; Hemiptera; Enicocephalidae.